Molecule: ribosomal RNA, 590 nt
Filed under: uncultured Wolbachia sp.
Lineage: Bacteria; Pseudomonadati; Pseudomonadota; Alphaproteobacteria; Rickettsiales; Anaplasmataceae
Description: bacterial SSU rRNA
Rfam family: Bacterial small subunit ribosomal RNA
Source: RNAcentral
AGUGGCAGACGGGUGAGUAAUGUAUAGGAAUCUACCUAGUAGUACGGAAUAAUUGUUGGAAACGGCAACUAAUACCGUAUACGCCCUACGGGGGAAAAAUUUAUUGCUAUUAGAUGAGCCUAUAUUAGAUUAGUUAGUUGGUGAGGUAAAGGCUUACCAAGACAAUGAUCUAUAGCUGAUCUGAGAGGAUGAUCAGCCACACUGGAACUGAGAUACGGUCCAGCCUCCUACGGGAGGCAGCAGUGGGGAAUAUUGGACAAUGGGCGAAAGCCUGAUCCAGCCAUGCCGCAUGGGUGAAGAAGGCCUUCGGGUUGUAAAGCUCUUUUAGUGAGGAAGAUAAUGACGGUACUCACAGAAGAAGUCCUGGCUAACUCCGUGCCAGCAGCCGCGGUAAUACGGAGAGGGCUAGCGUUAUUCGGAAUCAUUGGGCGUAAAGGGCGCGUAGGCGGGUUAGUAAGUUAAAAGUGAAAUCCCAAGGCUCAACCUUGGAAUUGCUUUUAAAACUGCUAAUCUAGAGAUUGAAAGAGGAUAGAGGAAUUCCUAGUGUAGANGUGAAAUUCGUAAAUAUUAGGANGAACACCAGUGGCGAA